UAGGGAAUAUUGGACAAUGGGGGCAACCCUGAUCCAGCCAUGCCGCGUGAGUGAAGAAGGCCCUCGGGUUGUAAAGCUCUUUUGUCCGGAAAGAAAAGCAUUCGGUGAAUACCCGGAUGUUCUGACGGUACCGGAAGAAUAAGCACCGGCUAACUUCGUGCCAGCAGCCGCGGUAAUACGAAGGGUGCAAGCGUUACUCGGAAUUACUGGGCGUAAAGCGUGCGUAGGUGGUUGUUUAAGUCUGAUGUGAAAGCCCUGGGCUCAACCUGGGAAUGGCAUUGGAAACUGGGCAGCUAGAGUGCGGUAGAGGGUAGUGGAAUUCCCGGUGUAGCAGUGAAAUGCGUAGAGAUCGGGAGGAACAUCUGUGGCGAAGGCGACAGCCUGGACCAGCACUGACACUGAGGCACGAAAGCGUGGGGAGCAAACA
RNAcentral lists this ribosomal RNA (427 nucleotides) under uncultured bacterium. Its description in RNAcentral is "bacterial SSU rRNA". It matches the Rfam family "Bacterial small subunit ribosomal RNA", at positions 355 to 774 of the family's 1533-position model. The record is from RNAcentral.